AUGUGCAUGAAUAGAUAGAUAAAUAAAUCAUUACGUUUGACAACAUGAAGAGUUAUCUUGUGUGUUUUGUUUUCUAUAUUAUAAUAAUUGUGGGAGUUGAGUCAAAAUUUGUAGGAAACAUAAAUGGAGUAGGAAAUGCUAUUGUGAAUAGUGAAAGCAUUCUCGAUGUUUUUCAAGAAAAUGAUUAUGAUUUAAUUGGAUCUAAAUUCCUUCGUGACCUAACCCGGAUACGAAGGCGGCUACGCAAACCUCAAGAUGAUUAUGAGGAUUCAGCUGAAGAAGGUGGCUUUGCAUCUUUAAAUAAUCAACCUGAAGAUGGUCAUAAUUUCAUGGCUAAUGUUACAAAGUGUCCUGCUGGUCAAGUCAAGUCUCCUUGGGGAAAAUGUAUGACAUGUGCUGAAUUAAUAAAGAAAAAAUUGAGAAGAGCUGGUGAUAAGGAGUGUGGCAUAUAACAUUGAAUCACGUACAGAUUUAGUUAAUAAAUUACAACUUAAUAAAACAAUAAAAAGUUUUUAAUACUUUGAUUUUAAAAAGAAGUACAUGUUAUAUUUUAUAAUAUGGAAAUAAAUAAGUUUGGUGUGAGCUAACAUUUUUGAUUUUACAAGAUGACAAAAACUAGAUUCGUCGUAGUAUUUUUGUCUGAUAAUCAGUUUCUCUGCUUUAUUUUUUAGCACUAGCCACUAGCACGCAUUUAUAUUGAAAACUAUAGUCAAGUGUACAUUAACUACUUGACGGCAUAAAAUGUCAACCUGUUGUACCCAUCUAGAGGGCAUCGCAAAAUUGCAAUAAAAUUCCUUUAUUUUGAAAAAAUCUUAUAACAAGAAUCUUAGUUAGUUUCGGAAUAUUUAUAUUUCUUUAUAAUAAAUUAUUUUUAGGAUUAUCUACAGCACAAAUGAGGGUCAAACUGAAAGGAAAAAAACUGAUUAAAAUAGCACAUAGUUUUGUUUUACUAUAUGUUUUCAAAAUAGUGACCAUUCACGUCAAUACAUGACUGCAUCCGAUGGAACCACUGAGAAAAGCACUUUGCCCACGCGUCCCUAGGGGUCUCAGAUGGCCUUUGGAAACUUAGCCACAGCUGGUAAAAUAAAAAUAAAAAUCGCAAGUUGCGAAGUCGAAGGACUAUAUGGGGAUGACCCAGUAAGUAAUUUUAGGUGUGACGUCACCAAAUAGUCGAUACUUCGUCUGGCGAUGUGCGACAAGGUGUUUUCGAGGUGAAGAAGGAUUCUACUUCGACGCCAUUUCUCCCGAAGUUUUCCAAGAUAAGUGGAAUAGAAUUUUUAAUGUAUCACUUUGCAGUAACUGUUUUUCGGUUCUCUAAAAGAAUUGCCACGUCCUUGCGAAGAACGAGGCCACCAUCUUUUUUCCCACACUUCGACCUUUUUUUACUAUAGUUGGCAACUUCUCAGAAGAAAACCCCAUUGAAUAGACUGUUUUGGUUUUGGCAUAAUAAUAGUCAGUCCAGCUUUCGUCGCCAGUAAGUAUAUUAAACACAGCAUUUGAGUCGCUUUCAUUACAUUGCCAUUUUAGGCCACCAAUUAACACGACGGAGUUUUCUUGUCUUAGUCAAAUCUUAAUCUUAUAAAGGUUAUUCUUUAUUUUUAGUUCUUCUACAUAUCUAUGAAAUAGCAUUAUUUGAAAAAACUAACCCUGAAACAUUUGUCAAAACAUCUGAAAUCCACAAUAUAAAUUUGAGAAGCAAGAAUACAUUACGUUUACAUGGCAGUAACACAGCUUCUAUGUACAAUAGUGUUCUUGAAAUGGUGCCGAGAAUAUUUAACAAUAUACCUACACAUAUCACAGAACUUAAGUUGACAUGUUUUAAAAAGAAGCUAUUUAAUCUCCUACUGAUAAAAUCGUACUAUUCCAUAAAAUACUUUUUUUCAGAUUUUAUUCAGAUUUUUUACCAAUUUCAAUUAUUAUAUGUUAUUUCAAAAUAUUCAAUUAUUGAUAUGUAUAUCAAUUAACUGUCAUUGUGUAUAUAUAUAUAUUUGUUUGACUUGUUAUUAAUUACUAUUUGUACGCCACAGCAUGCGGGCAAAGAAUGGAGAACUUUUAUUGUGAUUUGUAACAUCUAUGUAUACCCAUGACUACAAAUAAAUGAUCUUAUCUUAUCUUUUAUCGCUCUACUAUACGCCGAACGACACCAAUUUUAUCCUCAGUCGUGGCCUGAGAAGUUUAUACACGAGAUCGGCAUCUUCAGGAGAUGUGGAGUCAUCGAUUUCUGAAACCAGACGUAGUCCCGAAUUGGAUUGACAUGUAUGUAAAUUGCCCCAAACUACGACGGAGCCUGAUGCAAUGGGUGCAAGGUAAUAAUAUAUUGUAAUACAAUAUACAUGCAUAUACACAUUUUUAAUAUAAAUGCAUCUACCGGGAUUCGAACCCGGGACACUUACUCGGUAAUUUUUAGAUGUUACACGCUAAUAUAACGACGUAAAACGUUCGGCUUUAUUGGAGACAUAAAUGUGAUAGGUACUUAAAAUUAUCACUGCAAAGCUUGGUUUUAUGUUGAAGAUAAGGGUAACCCUUGAUAAACUUAUUAAUUAUGGAUACGCAUAUUAAUUUAGCAUCUGCUUUGUCCUUAUGAUGUAUUAUAACAGAAAGAUAUUUAGUACCCAAGUAAUUUGAUGAAUAAAAAAGAUUUGUACAUUGUACAAUGUGCAGGUAGUUUAAUUAAAAAUACUCCAAUUAGGAAGUUGAUCGGAAGAUCACACUAGUUUAAACGGCCAAAAUAACAAAAGAAUUAACACAAACUUCAACAAGACUAAAUUAAUAAUUUAGCUUUAAGAACAACAUCUCAAAUAAAUACCACGAAUUAAAAUAACUUAUUUAAACGUAUGAAUAUAAUCGCAAAAUGUCAACGUGUCCACUGCAUCCUGAAGAUGUCAAAGUAAAAUUGUAUAAAACUUAGCCGUUUAUUGCCAUUACCUGAAUGAACGAAUAAACGAAAUUAGAAAUGCAGCUAUGUGGAAAGGCAAAUCAAAAUUCAGUUAAUCUAUCCACAGUUUCUGUUAGUAUUACGACAGUAGAUUAAACAAAAGAUUUUUUUAUCUUGGAUUACGAAGUCCAUAGUUUAAAUUUCUUUUGAUCAUCGGGCCCAAGACUAAUACACGCAUCGCAGUUUUGAGUUACAUAGGGUUGCACUUUUCAAAAUUUUUAUAACUACCUAUCUAAUUAAAUUUUCUGGACAUCCAUUAAUUUUGAACAGAAUUUCUUCAUAGCAGCCGAUUUUGUCGUUUUUAUCA
Molecule: long non-coding RNA, 3242 nt
Organism: Leptidea sinapis
Lineage: Eukaryota; Metazoa; Arthropoda; Insecta; Lepidoptera; Pieridae
Exons: 3
Source: RefSeq, a predicted model, not a curated record